Long non-coding RNA from Columba livia (rock pigeon), 2204 nucleotides. RefSeq lists it as uncharacterized. NCBI's taxonomy places the organism in Eukaryota, Metazoa, Chordata, Aves, Columbiformes, Columbidae. The transcript is spliced from 4 exons. The record is from RefSeq and is a predicted model, not a curated record.
CGGGGGCGGGAUCCGGUCAGAGCCGCCCCCCCGCCGCGGCCCGGGCCCGGUGGGAGCUCGCGGGGCGCUUCGGGACGGUCGCAGCAGGGCUGGACGCGCAAAGACGCGCCCCUGCGGAGCGUGAGGCUGGCACGCAGGUCUGCAGUAUUCCAAACUUAGAAACAUGCUACUGCCGCAUUUGAGGAAGGAUUGCAGCAUAUCGCCCAAUAUAUGCGGGUCUGAAAUGAGAGAAGAUUGCAUCAGGAUAUUGUUGGCAAGGUUGCCAUCUAAAUCAGCUAAUGGUCUUCUCUGCCUGCAAAACCGGAAUAUAGGUUACAAGACAGUUUAGGUAAAGCUAGUUUGGUGCACACCAUGCUGCUUUGGAGUUCUCUCUGUGUUUGGGCCUUGGGUAGGUGAGUGUUUAAGGCCCUUGGUCACUUCCAUUGUUAAUGGGUGAGCACGAGGAGUGUGGUUGCUCACCAUGUCUGGAGAUUCACAGUCCAGCCUGUUGUGACUAAAAUGAGGACUUCUGAAAUGCUUUAAAAAGCAAGUGUUGUACCAUGGCCUUGGCAUUUCCCUGUAGAGCAUUAUCUGGUGGCAUGUCCAAGCUUCCCAGAGAAGCUGUUCGGUUGGCACUGUCGUGACUGUGGUGAUUGGGAUGGCCUUGGGGCUGAGUGCACUAAGGUGGUAGUUGGCACAAUGGAGAGGACAUGCAGGGGUUUUUUGCCUUUUGAAGGCAGUGGGCACUUUUCCACUGAGUCACCAAGAGUUGCCUGAGCUGCUCUUAGGCCUGUGCCUGCAUUGUCACCACUGGUCCAAACAGUGCAUUGAGAGUGGUGAUAAGAAAUGCUAAUGAAAAGGAAGCAAAUUGGGAGUUACAAGAAGCUUCAUUUUCUCCACUUGUACAAAUGUGGUAAGCAAGCAGAAAGGGAUGACUUUCCUGCCUCAGUGUUAGCAACUUUAUGGCAGAAUAAACAAUGUUCCUUAGGACUUUUAUGAAGAAGCUGAGAAUGCAGAGCUCCAAGCGUUAGCAUUUUAGAUGAGUUAAGCUAUCUAGACCACAUAUGAAAAAUUCAUUACCUACUGAGCAGCUAACGUGCCCAUCAGUUAUGGCACAAACUGUUCUGUCUUUUGGAAACCAGAGGGGACAAAACUCAAUAUCGUUCAGGUGGCUUGUAAUUGCUUUGUUUUACACAACACUGCAUAAAGUGACUGAGUCCCAAAGUUGAAGGUGUUGCAAUAAAGAUCUUAAAUGGGUUUGCAUGUGGAGGAAGGAAUGCUAAGUGCCUGAAACUUGUUAGCAAGAGAUUUUUUUUUAAGCACAUUUCAAUUGACUGGCAAAGGGUAUUUGCCCCCCAGUAGUUAGUAUGCUGCUUCCUGAGUGGAAAAAAGAAAAACCCAACAACAACAAAAACAACAACCAAAACCAAAUCAUAAAAAAAGUUGUGUGUAUGCACUGUAUACCAUAUAUAUAUAUUGAUAUAUAUAUUUACAGACACACACACAUACUGUAGUUUGCUUUGUAGUUAAGAGUACAGCUGCAUGACAAUAAUUUGUGGCAUUAAUAGCUGUAUCAGAAAUGGAAAUGAUAGUUGUCAAAUAGUCUGCAGUGAUAGACUUCACAUUUUAGCUAAGAGCUCCGCAUACUUUCGGGGGUUUGCUAUUUUUUUUCCCACUCCAGAAACUCAGUAUCUGUGGCCCUGAGGAUGGCAGAUACCCCUAGAAGGACAGUUAAUUGAGUUAUGUUACAAAUCACAGUUGAGGACCUGCUCUAACCAUUGUCUUUCUUCCAAUCUGGUUAUGGUUUAGGUUUGUUGGCCAUGCAAAGAAGAGCAUCUUAAGUUAGGCCAGGCAUACUGUCAAGUAAGUCCCAAGCAGUCACUUAGAUGGCUAGUAUUUGAAGAGGCCAUAUGUUCACUCUGCUGAUUUAGGCACUCUGUGACCCCUCCUGAGGAAAAGCUGUUCAGAUACAGCUUUAUGGGCCAUAAGAUCAGGAUUGCUGUUCCAGAUGUCUCUCCAUUUGAUGUGCCAGACCAUUAAAUUGCCCCAUAAAUUCACUUAGUUUCACAUUGACAGAGGAGAAAGAGUUGGUUGGUUCACUUGGGUACCGUAAAUUGUCCUCCAGAAAAGUCUUUGUCCAUUGGUUAUACAUUAUGUGAAGGGGACAAGGUGACUUGUCCUGCUAAGCCAGACUGGCAUUGCAGUGAUCCCUCUGCUCAACCUGG